Molecule: long non-coding RNA, 689 nt
Filed under: Homo sapiens (human)
Lineage: Eukaryota; Metazoa; Chordata; Mammalia; Primates; Hominidae
Description: HSALNT0003810
Source: RNAcentral
GGUCUACUGGUGAGAAAAAGGACGCUCGGAGGAGUACCCAGCACAGGCAGACAGGUCCUCUCUGGCCUUGGAGCAGGUAAGGUCCCUGCCCCGACAGAACUCUUUUCAGCCAGAGACUCAGGUAGGACUCACUAAAAACAACCUGUCCUGAGCUACGUAGAGCGUGCAGUGGGAGCACAGAAGAGGAGGCAGGACCACCGCUGCUGAGUGAGAAAUCCGAGUCCCACCUUGCCUGUGAGCCUGAAGGAGGAAGAACACUGCUGGCAGAAGGCCUGGGUGUGGGGCUCUGGAGCAGGAGUCCCGGCGCCAUGAGGGAGCUGCGGGCAUUUCUCUCGCUGGAGCGUGGACAGCAGAGUGAGUGGAGGAAGAUGGGUCGGGGAGGUGCGACAAGUCAGCUUAUAAAGGACCCUGGAUGCCAUGUUAAGGGGUUUGCAUCAUCCCAUGAUGAUGGGCAGCCACAGAAGGUUCCAGAAGAUGGAGCUGAGGUCCAUCAAUGACUAAGAAAGGAGUUAGGAGGCCUUUCUGACAGCUUUUGUAAGAGCCUGCUGAAGUAGUUUAGGAGAAAAAUGAUGAGGCUCGAACUAGGGAGUGAAGGCAGCAGUAGUGGAGAGAGGAAAGCACCAUGAACUUGGAGUUAGACUGUCCAUGGCCAAGUUCAGUCCUCCCACUUAUUAACAGGGACCCUGGGC